AACGAACGCUGGCGGCAUGCCUAACACAUGCAAGUCGAACGAGAUCUUCGGGUCUAGUGGCGCACGGGUGCGUAACGCGUGGGAAUCUGCCCUUUGGUUCGGAAUAACAGUUGGAAACGACUGCUAAUACCGGAUGAUGACGAAAGUCCAAAGAUUUAUCGCCAGAGGAGGAGCCCGCGUAGGACUAGCUAGUUGGUGUGGUAAAGGCGCACCAAGGCGACGAUCCUUAGCUGGUCUGAGAGGAUGAUCAGCCACACUGGGACUGAGACACGGCCCAGACUCCUACGGGAGGCAGCAGUGGGGAAUAUUGGACAAUGGGCGAAAGCCUGAUCCAGCAAUGCCGCGUGAGUGAUGAAGGCCUUAGGGUUGUAAAGCUCUUUUACCCGGGAUGAUAAUGACAGUACCGGGAGAAUAAGCUCCGUCUAACUCCGUGCCAGCCGCCGCAGUAA
This 449-nucleotide ribosomal RNA is filed under the name uncultured bacterium. Its description in RNAcentral is "partial 16S ribosomal RNA". It matches the Rfam family "Bacterial small subunit ribosomal RNA", at positions 29 to 523 of the family's 1533-position model. The record is from RNAcentral.